GCCCACUGCCCCGCAGCGAACGCCGCCGCCGCUCCGCCGCUCCGGAGAGGAGAAGAUGGCUGCGCCGACUUCCCAAAUUACGAAACCGGUUGGGGAAGGGAAAGGAAAGCGAGCAGGAAGCGAGCAGGUGCAGGGAGCACUGCAGUGCGGCCAGGGCGACCUGCAGCUCUAAUUAGCGCUUCUGUUAAUUGGGCUGCAGCGGGCAGAGAGAAAAGCCUGCACGCUCCCCCGUGCCCACCCGUGCUGGGGAACAGCUGGGCCCUAAAGCUGACGUGGAUCCCCGAGCAGAUGGGGUUCCUCCUGUGCAGAACGGGGGAUCCCCAGCUCACGGCUCCUGCUCAGAAGGCUCCAAUCCUCAAAAUCGGGAUGAAGCGAAGCACUGAGAAACGGAUUCAUUCCCUUUCUCCUAUCCGUAUUAAAUGAAAGACUAAUUAAAUAGCCCAAAUUAGAAACCAUUUCCUCAAAUUGCUUUGCUUUUCCAGCAAAUGUGGCCCCAGGGAACGGCGGUCCCGGGUGGCGUGGAGGGGUUGGGAGCGGUGCCUGCAGCCCCAUGGAAAAUGGGAGCAUCUUUCUGCAAGAGUACCCUUGAAAAGCUGAACAAACCCAUCGGUUUUGGCCAGCCUCCUGCAAGAGCAUCACAUUGCAGCGGGCUGCUUCUCAAGAGCAUGUGGAUAGCAUGAAUGGGGAUGGAGGAAGGCUUGAGGAUGCUGCCCGUCCUGCUUUGCUCUCAUCGCAGCAAGCUGGAGUCAUGAAAUGGUUGGUGCUGGGGGGGACCCUGAAGGCCAUCAGGUCCAACCCCUGUGCUGAGGAGGGACACCCACAGCUCCAUCAGUGCUCAGAGCCCCAUUCCCUGACCUCGGGUGUCUGCACCACCUCUCUGUGCAGUCUGUGCAGUGCCUCACCAAGUUAUUGAGUAAAGGGAAUGUGAGCAGUGUGGGAGGUGGAAAAGGGUUGGGUAGCACAUGUGUGCCUUUCAGGCCUUCCAAACCCUUCAGAUUACCACCGUGUGAGUUUAAUGGAUAAGAGUACGCAAAGGAAGCGGUCCAACUAAACGGGGGAAGCCUUUUGUGUUGGGAACGGCCGUAAUCCAAUACGGCCCUUUGGCAUGAUUCAAUUAAAUCCUUUCUCCUCCAAUUAAACGAUCAGCCGGAAUUUAAUAACAAGGAAUUUCUACGUGUCGUCCUCUGGAAUGAUGACCUCUGAGAUUGUAUGGGCUUAUGUAAAUUCUGCUGAUGGCUCUUCCUCUGCUUGCCUGUCACUUCCACCAGGCACUGAAUGGCCUUUACUUUACUUUCUCAUCUGCUCAAUGCAUCUCCGUUUGCAGUAAGGAUUCCUGAGUUAUUACUACAGUUGUUCCCAAUUGGAGAGGACCACCAAGAUCAUCUAGACCAGCUGUCACCACCACCGUGGCCACUAAACCACGUCACCAUUCCCCUGUGAUAGUGCAGUGUAAGACAUCCUCGUCCUGGUGGGCUGCUUGGGGACCCCAAAACCAGAGCCAAUCCACGCUGUAAAGUGUCUUGGGUGGGGGAAUUGCAUCACUGCAGCUUAAGGCAAUGAAACCAAGCUGGGAUCCAAACCCCCACGCUGACACAUCCCAGUUACCCCAGUGUGAACCUGGAGGAAUCCCCAUUGGGAAGGGGGAGCUGUGAAAGCUGUGAUCCCAGGGGUCUGCCUCCAGUAAGGCUGUGUUACGAUAAUAGGAAGCAGAUUUCCAGGCCCCUGGCAAACAAGUGGCUUCCAUAGCAUAUUUCACAGCUGAGCGCAUCGAUGGCACCAGCCUUUCUGCAGCUCUGUUAAACCCAACACCUCUUUAAUGAAUUGCAGCAAUCUGAAGUAUCCGCAUCCUGCCUGUGCUUCAGCCUUUAUGGGAGGACGUUGGGUCCUCUCCCCAUCAAGGAACCUCCUCUGUCACAUAGUACCUAUGGAUCAUAAAGUCCAAGCCCACCCCAUCGUGCCCACUAACCACGUCCCCCAGUGCCACAUCUCCACGUUCCUUUAACGCCUCUCCAACAUUGGGUAGAGCUUCUUGUCUUCCAGAAGCACCUUUCCAUCGUGGAAGAGAGAAAUGGGGAGCAAAGAGAGUGCACAUCAAGCAAAGUCAGUGUGAAAUGUCAUUUUCUCUUCCUUCCCAGCCACAGAUGUGAGGGGAGAAGCGUGGUUGGCUUUUGUGUAAGCAUGGGGUGAUUUGGGAGAUGGAGCCCUCCAGCACGGAACCAGCUCUUGGGAAAGCAGGGUGGGAAGUCCACCGAUGUGUCUGCUCUGCAGACCCAGUUUGCAUCUCCUCAGACACUGUUAUAAGGAUCGGAUAAAAGCUUAAAUGAAUAGGGAGAUUCUGAAGCCCUUCGAUAGCAGGAAAUAAUUGCCAGGAAAAAAAAAAAUCCUGUGAUCAAUCAGCAGACAAAUAUACACUUAAAUUAGGUGUUAGUGGGACAGAUGCAAGAAAGGUGAUUAUGGGUUGCCUCUGUGUUUCCUUUGGCAACGAGGAUGACACACGGGGUGGGUCAAUGCACCCUAUCAUUAAUACAGCAUCAGCAUUCCUCUGACAGCUUCUUUGUCCUGUGGAGUCAAUUCCUAUCAGGAUCUGGCAUUAGCAGGGGGAAAUUCAGCUGCCUUUGAGUCUCCAUGACCCCCCCUUGAUGCUUGCAGAUGGCAGGUAGCAGGCUAGCCCUGCAUGGUGUGUUGGGAAGGAGGCAGGAGCAAAGCCCUGCACCAAUAUGUAAUGUUUCAGCACUGAGCAAUGCAUAGAGGUACGUACAUCACUUGAUCUAUAGGCUCACUGCAAGGAUUAAGCAUGCAAUCAUCAGUUUAAUGUGUUUGAGGUUGCACUCGUGUCCGUCCUCUUAACUCAGAUGGGCUGCAGUCAUAGAACAGCAGAAUCGGUAAGGUUGGAAAAGAGCAUGGAGAUCACCAAUUCCAACUGUCACCUCUCACCACCAGUCACCUCCCCUGUGAAAAUAACAGGUUGUUGGGAUGGACAGAGGGAUUCUGUAGCUGUAUACCUGAUAACCAGCAGGUCCCUCAGUUCUGGGUUAGGUAGGAAAUAGUAAACUGAGGCACCAUGGGCUGGAGCUGAGGCAGGAAUCCCUGCUCACCACUCGAGCUCAAUAAGGAACAACUCUUCCAUCUCUUGGGUAGGAAACUGCAGUGAGAUUCAUACCCACAUGCAGCUCUGUGCUCACCCUCACGUGAUGGGCAGUUUUUGUAGUGCUCUGAUAUUAACGAGCCAGAGGUUAAAGACCAGGGAAUGCAAAGCCAUAAGCGUGGGGGCACAGCUCCCAGUGCUGUCUCGGCUCCAACUGGCUCAGCAGAUUCUCUGCUUUAGUGCAGUGCUAGAAAAAUAAACCCAAACCACCAUGUUUGGGUAUUGCAUCAUCACACGUUUGGGCUAAUUUUACUGAAAUCCACUGGUGGUUGAUGUACCCCCAGCAUUAACAGCCAGCCGUGGGAGCACGGGGUGCAUGCUUCUUUUAAUAAAGUUGGUUUAACUUCUGGCACAGAUUACAUUAAAAAAGGGAAAAAUAAUCCACAACUGCAAGCGUGAUAAAGUAUCUUAGUAUAAAAUCAAUACCGAGGCGAUUAGCAGCCUUUGAAGAAUUCCAGCCCUAAGACAGCCUGUGGCAGGCUGUCUCCAAGAGGGCUGAAAGGUGCCCGGAGUUGGGAAGUUUGGAUGCUGGAGUAAAGGACUGAUGCUGAUGGUAGAAGGGCUUUGAGGAGGUGAUGCCCAUGAAACCCUUUGUUGUAGUGCAACCCUCUCCCAUUGAGAAGCCCAUUAUCGUUAAGGUCGGAAAGAAGCAUGGAAUUCAUCGAGCCCAACCGUCAGCCCAUCCCCACUGUGCCCACUCUUAGAAUCACAGAAUCCUUAAGGUUGGAAGAGCCCUCCAAGAUCAUCACAUCCAACCGCUGACCCAUUCCCACUACGCCCAUGGGUCCAUGUGAUGGAAUCGCAGAAUCAUUAAGGCUGGAAAGGACCACUACGCUCAUCCAAUCCAACGGUCAACCCAUCAAAGAUGAAGCUGUGUUGGGCAUCGAGCCCAGCAGGGUCUUCAAGCCCAAGAGGUGAAGUGUGACCUAAAGAAAUACAGAUAUUGGGCCAGAUGUGAGGCACGAGGGGCUCUGCCCCAUCCCUCAUACCCACUGCCAGGAUGAGUACUGGGGAUGGCCAAUUUUCACCAGUUUUCUCACUUUCUGGUGGUGCUCCAUUAAAACUGGAAGUUCGUCAUCCGCAGCGGUCCAGCUCGCCUCGAGAUUAAGAUCUGCCUCAUUUGCAGUUACAUAAUUAGCAAUUAGCCUAAUUUCACUGACAUUAAAUUACUUUUUUUUUUUUUUUAACUAAAUAUUAUCUUUUCCAAGAAAAAAAAAAUAAUAAAAUGGCAUGGGUCUGCUUCGGAGUAUUUUAUAGAAAGCAACAGCAUCAUUAUCCCGUUCUCAGAUAUAACGUCUAGAUACCUUUAAUGAAAAUAUUCAUUAUUGCUAAUUUGCAUCUCUUUCAGCUCUAGGAGGAAAAUCGAAUGAAGAUGUCAAAACAGUGCUACCUCUGCCUGGGGAAAAAGGAGAUGUGGUGACCCCAAACCCACAACGCUCUGUGUGAUGGGGAAGCUCUGCAUCGUCACUGCAAUUAGGGGUAGCGUUGGGUGGGAGAUGGGCAAGGAAAAUCAGAGGGGAAAAACUCUGCAGCUGUAAGGAGUGGGGAGGAAGAAGGCAGUGCAGAGCAGAAGUAGACCCUAAUUAAGCCUUCCUUAAGCUUGCUUGAGAGCUAAUCCUCAAAUGUCGAGGUGUGCUGGGAUACAGGUUUACACUGGGAUGGCAAUGGCUUGCUUGGGUUCCAUCAGUACAAGAAAACAUAGAUUACACCUCCACAAUACACACUUCACUGAGCUUGGAGAGAGAAGCUAACAUCAUUUUUUAAAAAGAAAAUGGGGAUGAAUACUUAGAAAUAAUAAAAGCUCGGUGAAUAUUCAUCUGAACUCUUAA
Long non-coding RNA from Gallus gallus (chicken), 4974 nucleotides. RefSeq lists it as uncharacterized. Lineage: Eukaryota; Metazoa; Chordata; Aves; Galliformes; Phasianidae. The record is from RefSeq and is a predicted model, not a curated record. The transcript is spliced from 2 exons.